This 389-nucleotide ribosomal RNA is filed under the name uncultured bacterium. RNAcentral's name for it is "bacterial SSU rRNA". It matches the Rfam family "Bacterial small subunit ribosomal RNA", at positions 355 to 760 of the family's 1533-position model. The record is from RNAcentral.
UAGGGAAUAUUAGUUAAUGUGCGAAAGCGCGAACUAGCAACGCCGCGUGUGCGAUGAAGGCCGUCGGGUUGUAAAGCACUUUUCUAAGGGACGAGGAAGGACGGUACCUUGGGAAUAAGCAUCGGCUAACUACGUGCCAGCAGCCGCGGUAAAACGUAGGAUGCAAGCGUUAUCCGGAUUUACUGGGCGUAAAGCGCGUGUAGGCGGUUCGGUAAGUUGGAUGUGAAAGCUCCUGGCUUAACUGGGAGAGGUCGUUCAAUACUGCCGAGCUUGAGGAUGGUAGAGGGAGGUGGAAUUCCGAGUGUAGUGGUGAAAUGCGUAGAUAUUCGGAGGAACACCAGUGGCGAAAGCGGCCUCCUGGAGCAUUUCUGACGCUCAGACGCGAAAGC